This is a non-coding RNA of Schizosaccharomyces pombe (fission yeast), 240 nucleotides long. NCBI's taxonomy places the organism in Eukaryota, Fungi, Ascomycota, Schizosaccharomycetes, Schizosaccharomycetales, Schizosaccharomycetaceae. The record is from the annotation of a GenBank genome assembly.
AAUUCGUCAAACUCUUCUUCCUCUUCAACUUUUUUCUCCAUUUCAUUGUCUACAAUGCCUGAUUGGGAAAUACUAGCUUCUCUAUUAAUACUAAGACUCUCCGCCCAAACAGUUGAUGUAGCGUCAAGGUCAAGUUUAGAUGCUUCAACGACUUUUUGGUUUUUAGAAUCGUAAUCCUCUACAGGAUUUAAAUCAUCUUCUUCAAGAAGGUGUGGAUCUAUUUUUGUAUCAGCUCCCUCU